Long non-coding RNA from Amyelois transitella, 587 nucleotides. RefSeq lists it as uncharacterized. The transcript has 3 exons. The record is from RefSeq and is a predicted model, not a curated record. NCBI's taxonomy places the organism in Eukaryota, Metazoa, Arthropoda, Insecta, Lepidoptera, Pyralidae.
GCGACUGGUCCAUUGUUAACAAAUAUGGGUACAAUUGUGAACAAUGCGCUACAUUACUUUAUUUGGUGGAGGCAAGUGUGCGAGUGCGCCAAAUGUCGAACGAUUGAUAAUUGGGGUGCUGUUCGAAAUUGGUGGUAAAAGCCUACACACUGGACGUGGUAGUGUGAGAAGGAUAGCGAUACGAUACAAUUCGACAUUAGACAAAGAAAGAUACAGUCGGCACUCUGUGGGAAUCAAAUCACGCGCAGUACCGUGAAAGGAUCCCGGGACGAUUGUAUGUACAGCAUGUGUACCGGCGAUCUGUCGUGUACUGCAAUGGCUAUCUUUCUUCUGCGACGAUCAUCGAUGGGACAACACGCUGUUGGAUGUCUUAUUUGUACUACAGGACAAGGAACGCGUAAGAAUGUUGUGACAGUGUAGCUUCUAAUAUUAUAUCUUUUAAGUCUUCAGAGGACUGAUACAUUCAGACAUGACCAAAGACCAUAGCAUAGCAUGGUGGGAGGAUUCUUCGUUGUAUCUCACAAAAUAGGCGGUAGUGGGGCCCGUUCGUAGCCAUGUUUUAGUAUAAUUUGUCCACAAUAAAUGUA